Molecule: ribosomal RNA, 253 nt
Filed under: uncultured bacterium
Lineage: Bacteria
Description: partial 16S ribosomal RNA
Rfam family: Bacterial small subunit ribosomal RNA
Source: RNAcentral
UACGAAGGGGGCUAGCGUUGCUCGGAAUCACUGGGCGUAAAGCGCACGUAGGCGGCUUUCUAAGUCAGGGGUGAAAUCCUGGAGCUCAACUCCAGAACUGCCUUUGAUACUGGAGAGCUUGAGUCCGGGAGAGGUGAGUGGAACUCCGAGUGUAGAGGUGAAAUUCGUAGAUAUUCGGAAGAACACCAGUGGCGAAAGCGGCUCACUGGCCCGGUACUGACGCUGAUGUGCGAAAGCGUGGGGAGCAAACAGG